CCCUCCCACCACCACCCCUCACCUUUCAUUUUGGCUCUUCCAGCUUCAGUGGUCCUGAAACCAGAGCCUGUGAGCGCCAGCUACAUGAAGUGACAAAGGUUCGCUUGUAACAGAAGAGACUAGAGAAAGAAAGGUAGAACAGGUUUUACAGCAAAUGUUUCCUGCAUUUUCACUUUGAUGACAACAGAGUGUUCUAGCCUCAAGAACUACCACAGAAUUGAACCUCCAACAGAACGGAGGAGGAACCUGGAGGCUCUCAGAUGGAGGAGACAUCUACAUACCCAGGAAAGCAAAACAGGGAUGGAAAGGGCUUUGAAGGGACGGGGCACUGAUGUUCUGAGAAUGCCAGAAGAGAUUCUAGAAAAAGAUGCAGCAUGCCUUGGCAACAGAUGGAAUGUGGGGAGCAAAAGAGAUGAAAGCAUCAAAAAGAUCAAGCCAUGUUUGCAAGGGACUGCAAGUUUUCAUGCACCACGAUUCAUGAUCCAGUAUGGCAGCGAUUAAAAAAUGCACAAUACAGAUGUGUCUAUGUUAUGUGGCUUUAAAGACUAUGAACAUGAUGAUGAUGCAACCCACCAGUGAGAGAACAACACAUGCCAACUGAUACCAUGAAGGGGUGGGGAAAAAAAAUAAACAAAAGCAGCAAAGCCGGACUCA
RNAcentral lists this long non-coding RNA (654 nucleotides) under Pogona vitticeps (central bearded dragon). Its description in RNAcentral is "lncRNA (ENSPVIG00000017609.1)". Lineage: Eukaryota; Metazoa; Chordata; Lepidosauria; Squamata; Agamidae. The record is from RNAcentral.